AUGCAUCUAUUUGAUAGACCUGGAACAGUUAAUCUCUGCUUGUAAGGCUUCCACUACACAUGCAAGAAAAAUGUUUCCUCUUUCCACUUUCUGUCUGUUUGAUUGUGACAGCCAAGAUUGAAUGGGGGAAUACAGGA
Trichechus manatus latirostris (Florida manatee) is the source of this 137-nucleotide small nucleolar RNA. RefSeq annotates it as small nucleolar RNA SNORA31. The record is from RefSeq and is a predicted model, not a curated record. NCBI's taxonomy places the organism in Eukaryota, Metazoa, Chordata, Mammalia, Sirenia, Trichechidae. The transcript has a single exon.